Molecule: long non-coding RNA, 459 nt
Filed under: Cyanistes caeruleus (blue tit)
Lineage: Eukaryota; Metazoa; Chordata; Aves; Passeriformes; Paridae
Description: lncRNA (ENSCCEG00000017418.1)
Source: RNAcentral
GUGGGAACUCCAGACGUGUUCAAAGAUGACAUGUCACAAAGAUCAUAUUGCCCACACAUACAGGAACCCCCUACCAUGAACCAGUCAGCUGCAGAACUUGGGAGAGACUCAUCAUACUGAAAUUGGCAUUAGUGCCUCUCUAUGGACUAUCACACUAAAAAUAGAUCCAUCUCCUUUUUCCAUGUCUGAGCUGAAGUCUAAAUAAUUCCCAGAGCCUUAGUUUGAUGGAAAUCCUUUAGCAGGUUGCUGUUGUCCCACAGCCUACCUGGGGUGGUCUGCUGCCAUAUCUGCAUCAGGCACAUUAGGAAGUUGCUGGGACCAGUAAACUCUCCUCUUGAGCAAUGAUUUUUUUCAUGAAGAAGGUGCACAAGAGUUUUGUAACACUGUUUGCAGGCCCGCCUGCAGGGAGUGGGAGAGACCUGUCUGAAUCUGGAGAUCAGCAGUGAAAACACUGCUUUC